RNAcentral lists this long non-coding RNA (509 nucleotides) under Gossypium raimondii (Peruvian cotton). RNAcentral describes it as "long non-coding RNA (GRAI_LNC002665)". The record is from RNAcentral. Lineage: Eukaryota; Viridiplantae; Streptophyta; Magnoliopsida; Malvales; Malvaceae.
GAAGUUGCAAUGGGACAAGUUGAAGUUACAAGUCUUAUCUUCCUGAAGUUGCAAUGGAGCAGACUAGAGAUAGCGGAUCUUAUUUCCCAAAAGUUGUAGUGGAAUAGAUUAAAGCUACAAGUUACAAGUCUUAUCUCCCUGAAGUUACAGUGGAGCAGACUAAAGGUUACAAAUCUUGUCUCUCUGAAGUUGCAGUGGAGCAUGUAAUGAUCCAAUUCUGCCCGGGCCCAAGACAAAAUACAAAUAAUAAAUAAAACCAAAUAAAUAAAAAUUCCAAAUACCAAGUCUAUUUACAACAAACCCAACAGGCCCAAAUUACAAAAACUCUAGUGGCCCAAUAAGCCCAAAGCCUAAACAUCUUUUCAAAAAAAAAAACCCUAGCACCCUUUAAUUGCCGCUCCUCCCACGCGCGCCGCAGAGCCUCCUCGCACGCCACCACUGCAGCACGCGUCUGACACAUGCAAAACAAAGGCAACACGCAACAGAAGGUAACAAGCAGUAAAAAGUAC